RNAcentral lists this long non-coding RNA (502 nucleotides) under Mytilus galloprovincialis (Mediterranean mussel). The record is from RNAcentral. Lineage: Eukaryota; Metazoa; Mollusca; Bivalvia; Mytilida; Mytilidae.
CACCCAUUUACAUGAUUUAUAAACGCUAGAUUCCCGACAGGGUCACCGUUAAUCAUCUAUUGCAUAAAACUUUUUUAAUUUGAUUUUUGAAAAAUUUGAUUGUUCGUACACCAACGCUGUAGUGACAAGGGUGUUGUUAGCCUGUCAUGAUGGUUGAAAAAAGUAAAAUCCCAAAAAUACUGAACUCCGAGGAAAAUUACAUACCCUUAUUUCGCGUUUUAAUCAGAAAAUCAAAAAUACAGAUUAUCAUGAAAUAUUUGGUCUGACAAUCAAAUAAUCACUAUAAUUACUAGAAGAGCCGUGGUGUAGUGGUUAGGGCAUCGGACUACUAACACAAAGGUUCCUGGUUCAUCGGAAGGGGACGAUAAAUGACUGACCCGUGUUAAGAGAGAGCAAUAUCCCUUGUACAUAAAAGACACUCUUGUAGAUAUCGAAAAAGAGUAGGUUAAUGCCGCUACAAGACAGCACUCGCAACCGCAAAUGGAAAGGGAUAAGUUGCAAU